This 230-nucleotide ribosomal RNA is filed under the name uncultured bacterium. Its description in RNAcentral is "partial 16S ribosomal RNA". It matches the Rfam family "Bacterial small subunit ribosomal RNA", at positions 562 to 791 of the family's 1533-position model. The record is from RNAcentral.
AAAGCGUGCGCAGGCGGUUAUGUAAGACAGAUGUGAAAUCCCCGGGCUCAACCUGGGAACUGCAUUUGUGACUGCAUGGCUAGAGUACGGUAGAGGGGGAUGGAAUUCCGCGUGUAGCAGUGAAAUGCGUAGAUAUGCGGAGGAACACCGAUGGCGAAGGCAAUCCCCUGGACCUGUACUGACGCUCAUGCACGAAAGCGUGGGGAGCAAACAGGAUUAGAUACCCCAGG